This is a long non-coding RNA of Neogale vison (American mink), 913 nucleotides long. RefSeq lists it as uncharacterized. NCBI's taxonomy places the organism in Eukaryota, Metazoa, Chordata, Mammalia, Carnivora, Mustelidae. The transcript has 3 exons. The record is from RefSeq and is a predicted model, not a curated record.
CAGCAAUUCCAGGAACAGAAAAGCGACCACUUUCUGGAAGGAUCCAGUCUACAGUCAUAACAUUUGUUCCCUGGCCAGGAAACCCAGCCACACUGGCCCACUGUUGCCACCAGCUUGGGAACAACAGCAGAGCAAUGAUGGAACAAGGGUCAUAACACCCUAGGUUAGGCGCACCCUGCCUAAUCUUUGGCAGUCUCCCACCCGCUUGCCUCGGAGCAGCCCAGCUCCGCUGUUCCCGCCGGACUCCAGGAGAUUUGGCAGGUCUCAGCUGUCACCCAUGGGUCCACCACUCCAGAGUAAAAAAGCCCAUCACCUGGAUGAGAAGCCACAACAGUGGAAAGUCCAGCCAAACCUGGCAGACCUGCUCCGGCUUCGCCUCCAAUGAGAACCCACUGACUGCCCGGCGUCAUCCCUGCUUCUCACUGGCACGAUAUUCCUCAUUCUAGGGGUCAGACUCUACACCGUUGUCCCCUUCUGACUAGACAUUCCCCCAGAGACUUGCCGUUGUUAUUGUUUACCAGAUGACCCUAGGCUCUUUUACUGCCCUUACUUGUUCGCAGGUUUUCUCUGCUGUUGGGCUCGCCAUAAUGGCUCCCUCUAACUAAGGCGUGGGCCCCACUUGUAUUGGCCCUCUGCUCUCUACCCCUACAGGCAUUCCACUGUUGUUUUCCCAACCCCAGUCAGUCCUGGUCUUCUGCUACCUGGUGUGUUCCUCCUCCCUGCCUUUAGCUCACCCAACCCGGCAGUGGAGGGCAAACACCCACACGAUCAAUCAUGCAUGCCUGUCCGUCUCUUACCCGAUCUUUCAGUCCUCCCCGGGAGCGAUGCUCCACUUAUACAAAAACCUCCUAGCCGCCCUGACACACCCCCAUGGCCCUUCCCCUUCUUGUGAGCCUGUUGGCCAUGUCAGGAG